RNAcentral lists this ribosomal RNA (459 nucleotides) under uncultured bacterium. RNAcentral's name for it is "partial 16S ribosomal RNA". It matches the Rfam family "Bacterial small subunit ribosomal RNA", at positions 338 to 795 of the family's 1533-position model. The record is from RNAcentral.
CCUACGGGAGGCAGCAGUGAGGAAUAUUGGUCAAUGGUCGGGAGACUGAACCAGCCAAGCCGCGUGAGGGAGGAAGGUACAGAGUAUCGUAAACCUCUUUUGUCAGGGAACAAAGGCGGGGACGUGUCCCCGGAUGAGUGUACCUGAAGAAAAAGCAUCGGCUAACUCCGUGCCAGCAGCCGCGGUAAUACGGAGGAUGCGAGCGUUAUCCGGAUUUAUUGGGUUUAAAGGUGGCGCAGGCGGUCUGUUAAGUCAGCGGUCAAAGCCCGGGGCUCAACCCCGGCCCGCCGUUGAAACUGGCAGUCGCGAGUUGGAGAGAAGUAUGCGGAAGGCGCGGUGUAGCGGUGAAAUGCAUAGAUAUCGCGCAGAACUCCGAUUGCGAAGGCAGCAUGCCGGCUCCACACUGACGCUGAGGCACGAAAGCGUGGGUAUCGAACAGGAUUAGAUACCCGGGUAGUC